CCAUUUUCCUCUCUCUCUCUCUCUCUCUCUCAGCCUCCGUCUAUUACAUAGUGAAAUUUCACCUUCGCUGUCCACCUUUAGAACCCUGAAGCCUAAAGGGGUGAGGUCAGACCUGCCGCGGUAACAGUUAACAACGAGUGGAUCAUUACGAAUGUACAGUAUAUACCUAAAGCGGCGGGGGAUCCAGCGCAACACUCUAAGGAGAAGGGGGGACCCUGUAAUGGCAAGAUUUUAAUAAUAUUCUAAUCACCCAUAAGCAAACGCGUUUAAUUUGAACGAAGAGUUAAUUCUAAGAUGUGAAGUUCUCCCUUAGAUAUUCUUUUUUAUUCAGUAUUUGGAGUUUGUAUUUUCUUGCAAAAAUCAUCAUUAAAACCAACCUGUAGUAUCGUAAAAUAUUCACCUUCACCAAAAAUAUUGUUUCCAGAAUGAUCGCUUGUGUUACAUCAUAAACUAUACGUAUUAUUUGCUUUCGUGUAAUAUGAUGUCAGCUGUAGUGUCCGUGGGAUUAUCCUAUAUACUUUUCAGAACUCAUAAUUUUCCUUCAUUUUGUAAUCGCUUGCUCUAGCUUGCAGUGUUUUUCCGGUAUCAUCCAACUGAAAAUUUGAUACAAAAUUCCCGGUAGGCAUCUCACACUUAAACUUCCCUGCCAAUAUAAGUAAGGCCACGCGACGCUUGCUUGAGUUAGUUGAAUGCCUUCAGUAACGACGGUCAGCAUUCCCUCACUUCUCCAAUACUACAAUCACAUAAGAAGAACCUCGAGCUGUUGCUGUUAAGAAGAUUUAGGAUGAAUAUAAAGGUGGUGUUGUUGGUGUUGGUGACGUUUGUGUGGGUGGCGUUGGGGGCACCAAAUGUCAUCAAAACACCAAGAGACUUCCCAGGACAAAGACGCCUUGGGAGGACGAAUUACGGCACUCACAGCUUCGGCAGUACUGGCUACAGCAGAUAUCCUAUCGCGAGGAGCUCAAGAAGACGAAACUUCGGUUAGCCUGUGUGGGUGUCGCUCCUGAAGGUAUAAGUCGUCCAGUCGAAGAUUAUUCUUCCUUCUAUACUUGACCUUCCCAGCUACCAACCACCCUAAAUACCAACCAUCCCAGCUAUCAACUAACCCAGCUACCAUCUACCCCAGCUACCAACCAUCCCAGCUACCAACCAUCCCAGCUACCAACCAUCCCAGCUACCAACUAUCCCAGCUACCAACCACCCCAGUUACCAACCACCCCAGCUACCUACCAUCCGAGCUACCUACCACCCCAGCUACCAACCAACCACCACAGCUACCAACCACCGCAGCUACCAACCACCGCAGCUAGCAGCCAUCCCAGCUACCAACUAUCCCAGCUACAACCACCCCAACUACCAACUAUCCCAGCUAUCAACUAUCCCAGCUACCAACUAUCCCAGCUACCUACCAUCCCAGUUACCAACUAUCCCUAACUACCUACCACCCCAGCUACCAACCUCCCAGCUACCUAUCAUCCACUCAACAACUGUCUAAUAUAGGCUAUAUCCGUCCGGCCAAAUUUUCGAUGGUUUUCAAAUAUGAUGCCAAUUCUAUCCACCACACGUCUUUGCCGGUGCAAAGUAGGCAAGUAUCUCAGCUAUACAGAAUUACAUGUACUUGCUCUAUCUUCACGUGAUAUUAUAAUAUAUAUUAUAUAUAUAUAUGUGUGUGUAUGUGUGUGUGUGUGUGUGUGUGUUAUACAACUUUCACAUUUUCUGUCAUAUGAUCCUUCAUUUCAGUUAAAGAUAUUUGAAAAGGUUUGGUGUAAUACAGUAGAUAUUACCUUCAUAGUUAUGAUUAUUGUAUAUCAGUUAUCUACUAGUUGCAUGUUAAAAGAGAAUGUUAAAACUUGGCAGUACUAUUUUAUAACCUUUAACAAGAGCCUUUUCACCAGAAAAUCCCAAUACUUUUUAUUUUAUGCAGUAUUGUUUUCAGGCAUUUUUGUAUAGUUAAAAGUAUUUACUAUUGACAUCAGAAUAUCUCUUAAUAUCAAGUGCGCUUGGCUUCAAAAUG
Homarus americanus (American lobster) is the source of this 2014-nucleotide long non-coding RNA. RefSeq lists it as uncharacterized. The transcript has 4 exons. NCBI's taxonomy places the organism in Eukaryota, Metazoa, Arthropoda, Malacostraca, Decapoda, Nephropidae. The record is from RefSeq and is a predicted model, not a curated record.